This 536-nucleotide ribosomal RNA is filed under the name uncultured bacterium. RNAcentral's name for it is "bacterial SSU rRNA". It matches the Rfam family "Bacterial small subunit ribosomal RNA", at positions 367 to 895 of the family's 1533-position model. The record is from RNAcentral.
UGGGGAGNGCGCAAGCCUGAUGCAGCCAUGCCGCGUGUNNNNNNAAGGCCUUCGGGUUGUAAAGUACUUUCAGCGGGGAGGAAGGCGAUAAGGUUAAUAACCUUGUCGAUUGACGUUACCCACAGAAUAAGCACCGGCUAACUCUGUGCCAGCAGCCGCGGUAAUACAGAGGGUGCAAGCGUUAAUCGGAAUUACUGGGCGUAAAGCGCGCGUAGGUGGUUAUUUAAGUCAGAUGUGAAAGCCCCGGGCUUAACCUGGGAACUGCAUCUGAUACUGGAUAACUAGAGUAGGUGAGAGGGGAGUAGAAUUCCAGGUGUAGCGGUGAAAUGCGUAGAGAUCUGGAGGAAUACCGAUGGCGAAGGCAGCUCCCUGGCAUCAUACUGACACUGAGGUGCGAGAGCGUGGGUAGCAAACAGGAUUAGAUACCCUGGUAGUCCACGCCGUAAACGAUGUCUACCAGUCGUUGGGUCUUUUAAAGACUUAGUGACGCAGUUAACGCAAUAAGUAGACCGCCUGGGGAGUACGGCCGCNAGGUU